RNAcentral lists this ribosomal RNA (254 nucleotides) under uncultured bacterium. RNAcentral's name for it is "partial 16S ribosomal RNA". It matches the Rfam family "Bacterial small subunit ribosomal RNA", at positions 524 to 777 of the family's 1533-position model. The record is from RNAcentral.
UACGAAGGGGGCUAGCGUUGUUCGGAUUUACUGGGCGUAAAGCGCACGUAGGCGGAUUGUUAAGUGAGAGGUGAAAUCCCGGAGCUCAACCCCGGAACUGCCUCAGAUACUGACGGUCUCGAGGGAGGUAGGGGCGAGCGGAACUGAUGGUGGAGCGGUGAAAUGCGUUGAUAUCAUCAGGAACUCCGGUGGCGAAGGCGGCUCGCUGGACCUUUUCUGACGCUGAGGCGCGAAAGCUAGGGGAGCAAACGGGG